UCAUGGAAUCUGACCUGGUUAUUGAAGCGUAAUUUGCAGCUGCUGUGAAGAAUUUCAGUCUCGAAUCAAGGUCAAAGGUGAAAGCUCGAGUAUACAGUAGGUCAUAUAUUUUCUAGUUUACUUCUUGUGUUGACAAGUUGUAUAGGUUGAACCUCAUUCACUUGAGAUAUUCUUGUAAAACUUAAUUACAUGGUGGAAUGGGGAGUGGUUAUGUUUCGUUGACAGUUCCUUUGAAAAUUUGUGAGCCCCAAU
Molecule: unclassified non-coding RNA, 252 nt
Filed under: Hevea brasiliensis (rubber tree)
Lineage: Eukaryota; Viridiplantae; Streptophyta; Magnoliopsida; Malpighiales; Euphorbiaceae
Source: RNAcentral